Molecule: ribosomal RNA, 340 nt
Filed under: Quadraceps fissus
Lineage: Eukaryota; Metazoa; Arthropoda; Insecta; Psocodea; Philopteridae
Description: partial 12S ribosomal RNA
Source: RNAcentral
GAAAAAGAAAUAAAGCCUAACGGAGUAAAAAAUUAAAGAGAAAAGAAAAGCUGCUGGCGGUUUCUCAUUCUACCUAGAGGUACAUGCAUUUGAAAACGAAUCUGCCCGAAAUGACCGUUCUCAUCCUUGAGAUAGCUCAUUUUGCACACCACUGUCUGAAAAGGGAAAGCUGUCCCUUUUUAUCUUCCUAAGAAAUAAGGCAAGUAAACGUGUAGAUGAUGGGUGAGAAAGUGUGUGUUCCAAUUUUACUAAUAAAGGAGUAACUGAAAGACCUCUAAAAAGAGAAUUUAGAAGUAAAGGAAGUUUAUCAAACUUCUUUGAAAGAAGCUCUGAGAAAUGU